Molecule: long non-coding RNA, 1129 nt
Organism: Spinacia oleracea (spinach)
Lineage: Eukaryota; Viridiplantae; Streptophyta; Magnoliopsida; Caryophyllales; Amaranthaceae
Exons: 3
Source: RefSeq, a predicted model, not a curated record
AACCCCAUAGGCCCAUACUUAGAAUUAUUUUCCCCAAAAUUUCCAAGCCCUAGCUGCUCAAAUUGUUACCCAAAAAAAAAGAUAAUAGAAAUUAAAAACACAAGAGAGGAGAGAGACUGAGAGAAAUUCAUGAAUUUCGCAUCAAUUCGCAAUUCGCAGAUCUAGGGUUUAGAGGGUCUGUAAUUCGCAAGUGAGGGUUUAGAGGGUCUGCUUCGGGGGUUUAGAGGGUCGGCAACACCACCACGAGGAAGGAAGAGGACGUCGAAGGAAGGAGACGAGCCAUCCAUUCAUGAAUUUUGCAUCAAUUCACAAUUCGCAGUUCUAGGGUUUAGAGGGUCUGUAAUUCGCAAGUGAAGGUUUAGAGGGUCUGCUUCGGGGGUUUAGAGGGUCGGCAACACCACCACGAGGAAGGAGAGGACGUCGAAGGAAGGAGACGAGCCAUCCAUUCAAGUUGUAAUCCCGUAAAACAGAUUCAUAAACUCUCACAAGAGGGUUAUGUUCAUGAUUUCAAGACUUGCGAGUUGCUAGCAGUGUUUAAAAAAGCAGUAAAUUGCAUGGUUGGUACUGAUCAUUGGUAACCUUCAAAACCAGUUGGUAAAGCUGUUGAAAGGAGCUCAUGAAAGUACAUAUGGUGGAUGCAUAUAUUUCACUCAUCUUAGAAGUCUGGUCAUCUGGUGGAUGGUUACCCAGGCCAUGUGGUUUGCCAAAUACAUUUAGAAUCUUGCAUAACUGAGGAAGAGAACUGUGAAGCUAAGCAAGGUGCAUCCAGAGUCGUGCACGGUUGAACGAAUCGAGGUUUUGGCUCAGUCCCUGACUAUGGGUGAUUUUGUGAAGAAUAAUAAUCCCAAACAGAAGCAUCAUCAGGUUAAGUAAGGUGAGCUAAAUGGAGAAGAAAUGGAGAAAAAUGUAGAUCUAGCAAUGACAUGGUGGAGGCUCUUGUUUGUUUUUGAGUCAUUUUGUGAUUUCUAGUAAUGUACAUUGAAUUUGUUUAUGUGGAUUUUAAUUUUAUGCAUUUUUUCAUUAAAAACACUAAAUUAAUUAGUGAACGAUUAUUUUGUAAUGCAUGUGUCCUAUGGGCACUAAUAUUGUAAUAUUACUCUUUAAGUCAAUGAAAAUCUUUUAUUAUUGA